Molecule: signal recognition particle RNA, 91 nt
Filed under: Nocardioides hwasunensis
Lineage: Bacteria; Bacillati; Actinomycetota; Actinomycetes; Propionibacteriales; Nocardioidaceae
Description: signal recognition particle sRNA small type
Rfam family: Bacterial small signal recognition particle RNA
About the family: The signal recognition particle (SRP) is a universally conserved ribonucleoprotein involved in the co-translational targeting of proteins to membranes. Archaeal SRP consists of a 7S RNA and homologues of the eukaryotic SRP19 and SRP54 proteins. In most bacteria, the SRP consists of a 4.5S RNA and the Ffh protein (a homologue of the eukaryotic SRP54 protein).
Source: RNAcentral
AACCCCCCACGCGGCGUCACCUCGCCCAAUUCCCCCAGGGCCGGAAGGCAGCAAGGGUAAGUGAGCUCUAGCGGGUGCGUGGGGGGCCUCU